Ictidomys tridecemlineatus (thirteen-lined ground squirrel) is the source of this 628-nucleotide non-coding RNA. NCBI's taxonomy places the organism in Eukaryota, Metazoa, Chordata, Mammalia, Rodentia, Sciuridae. The record is from RefSeq and is a predicted model, not a curated record.
GGAACAGUAUGGCUCACGUGGAAAUAUCCAGCAAUGCGGCGCAGAGGCCACAGUCUGCGGAUGAAGCGGCAAGCCGAGCUUUCCUACACCCCCGUGGGUCUCGGGCUUGACAUUACGGGACCCCGGGUGAUUCUCCUGUGCUGCCGAGAUUGAAGACUGCUGUUCUAAGACAAAUCCACUCACUGUCAAAUGUGAAAUCAAGUGCACACACUUAAAAAAAAAAAUACAAGAGCUGGUGGGAAGAAUCCGAAUCAGCUUGGUGUUGCAAAGACCCCCUACUGACCUCUUCCAGGGGUGAAGGGAGGAGAUGGAGAGGGUGAUCUCAAUGUGUAACCGAGUUUUGAGAAUCAGCGUUUUGGAACUUUGUGGACCAGUAGCAUGAGGAUAUCUUAAGAGUUGGUUGGAAAUGGACAAUUCCAGGCCCUACCCCAGACCAACUGGAUGGGAAUCGACACUGUCACAGGAUUGGCAUGUACAUUAACAAUUGGGAGUCGCUGUUCUCAUUGUUUACAAUGAGUACGAUACUUUUUCUCAGAAUUGUUCUGUCUUAAGGAUGAAAUGGAACGUGGUGCAGGUACAGUGACGCACAACUGUGAUCCCAGUGGCUCUGGAGACUGAGGGAGGAGGA